Molecule: ribosomal RNA, 397 nt
Filed under: uncultured bacterium
Lineage: Bacteria
Description: partial 16S ribosomal RNA
Rfam family: Bacterial small subunit ribosomal RNA
Source: RNAcentral
AUACGUAGGGGGCGAGCGUUGUCCGGAAUGAUUGGGCGUAAAGGGCGCGUAGGCGGCCUGUUAAGUCUGGAGUGAAAGUCCUGUUUUCAAGAUGGGAAUUGCUUUGGAUACUGAUGGGCUUGAAUGCAGGAGAGGUUAUCGGAAUUCCCGGUGUAGCGGUGAAAUGCGUAGAGAUCGGGAGGAACACCAGUGGCGAAGGCGGGUAACUGGACUGCAACUGACGCUGAGGCGCGAAAGUGUGGGGAGCAAACAGGAUUAGAUACCCUGGUAGUCCACACUGUAAACGAUGAAUGCUAGGUGUAAGAGGUAUCGACCCCUUUUGUGCCGGAGUUAACACAAUAAGCAUUCCGCCUGGGGAGUACGGCCGCAAGGUUGAAACUUAAAGGAAUUGGCGGGG